AAUUCUCAAAACCCCUUCCUUUGCCGGAAUGGAUUUUGGACUUGGAGGCCUUUUGCCGGUUUCACCUCGAAGCCGGCUCCUCCUAAAUGGAUUAGUGGGGUCUGCUUUGCCGGUCCUUGACGUGAUAAGAUGCUUCUACGUCUCGGGUUUUGGCACUGUGCCUCUGCUUCUAACCGUCUCAUUGACAACGAUGGUGUUCCGGUCACCGCCGAUUCCUCGGUGGGAGGCUUGACCCACAAAACGAC
Molecule: unclassified non-coding RNA, 245 nt
Filed under: uncultured Russula
Lineage: Eukaryota; Fungi; Basidiomycota; Agaricomycetes; Russulales; Russulaceae
Description: sequence contains ITS2
Source: RNAcentral